GACGAACGCUGGCGGCGUGCUUAACACAUGCAAGUCGAACGAAGAGCGAUGGAAGCUUGCUUCUAUCACUCUUAGUGGCGCACGGGUGAGGAACGCGUAAUCAACCUGCCCUUCAGAGGGGGACAACAGUUGGAAACGACUGCUAAUACCGCAUACGAUCUAAUCUCGGCAUCGAGGAUAGAUGAAAGGUGGCCUCUACAUGUAAGCUAUCACUGAAGGAGGGGAUUGCGUCUGAUUAGCUAGUUGGAGGGGUAACGGCCCACCAAGGCGAUGAUCAGUAGCCGGUCUCAGAGGAUGAACGGCCAAAGUGGGACUGAGACACGGCCCAGACUCCUACGGGAGGCAGCAGUGGGGAAUCUUACGCAAUGGACGACAUUCUGACGGAGCAACGCCGCGUGAGCGAUGACGGCCUUCGGGUUGUAAAGCUCUGUUAAUCGUGACGAAUGGCCUCCUUGAGAAUAGUGAGAAGGAUUGACGGUACCGUAAGAGAAAGCCACGGCUAACUACGUG
RNAcentral lists this ribosomal RNA (510 nucleotides) under uncultured bacterium. RNAcentral describes it as "partial 16S ribosomal RNA". It matches the Rfam family "Bacterial small subunit ribosomal RNA", at positions 28 to 507 of the family's 1533-position model. The record is from RNAcentral.